UGGUGGAGUGAUUUGUCUGGUUAAUUCCGAUAACGAACGAGACUCUAGCCUAUUAAAUAGUUAACGCAUGCUGAGCAGUGCUUGUUAACUUCUUAGGGGGAUUUACCACGUUAUAGUGGCAAGAAAUUGGGCAAUAACA
RNAcentral lists this ribosomal RNA (139 nucleotides) under uncultured eukaryote. Its description in RNAcentral is "partial 18S ribosomal RNA". It matches the Rfam family "Eukaryotic small subunit ribosomal RNA", at positions 1299 to 1458 of the family's 1831-position model. The record is from RNAcentral.